This 253-nucleotide ribosomal RNA is filed under the name uncultured bacterium. Its description in RNAcentral is "partial 16S ribosomal RNA". It matches the Rfam family "Bacterial small subunit ribosomal RNA", at positions 524 to 776 of the family's 1533-position model. The record is from RNAcentral.
UACGAAGGGGGCUAGCGUUGCUCGGAAUUACUGGGCGUAAAGGGCGCGUAGGCGGAUAUCUAAGUCAGGGGUGAAAUCCCGGGGCUCAACCCCGGAACUGCCUUUGAUACUGGGUAUCUGGAGGUCGAGAGAGGCGAGUGGAAUUCCGAGUGUAGAGGUGAAAUUCGUAGAUAUUCGGAGGAACACCAGUGGCGAAGGCGGCUCGCUGGCUCGAUACUGACGCUGAGGUGCGAAAGCGUGGGGAGCAAACAGG